RNAcentral lists this transfer RNA (68 nucleotides) under Marmota monax (woodchuck). RNAcentral describes it as "tRNA.Ala". The stretch from base 6 to 63 matches the Rfam family "tRNA", at positions 8 to 63 of the family's 71-position model. From Rfam's summary of the family: Transfer RNA (tRNA) molecules are approximately 80 nucleotides in length. Their secondary structure includes four short double-helical elements and three loops (D, anti-codon, and T loops). Further hydrogen bonds mediate the characteristic L-shaped molecular structure. tRNAs have two regions of fundamental functional importance: the anti-codon, which is responsible for specific mRNA codon recognition, and the 3' end, to which the tRNAs corresponding amino acid is attached (by aminoacyl-tRNA synthetases). tRNAs cope with the degeneracy of the genetic code in two manners: having more than one tRNA (with a specific anti-codon) for a particular amino acid; and 'wobble' base-pairing, i.e. permitting non-standard base-pairing at the 3rd anti-codon position. Lineage: Eukaryota; Metazoa; Chordata; Mammalia; Rodentia; Sciuridae. The record is from RNAcentral.
GGAUAUAGCUCAGUUGGUAGAGUGCUUGCCUUGCAUGCACAAGGCCCUGGGUUCAAUCCCCAGCACCA